This 1554-nucleotide ribosomal RNA is filed under the name Escherichia fergusonii. RNAcentral describes it as "bacterial SSU rRNA". It matches the Rfam family "Bacterial small subunit ribosomal RNA". Lineage: Bacteria; Pseudomonadati; Pseudomonadota; Gammaproteobacteria; Enterobacterales; Enterobacteriaceae. The record is from RNAcentral.
AAAUUGAAGAGUUUGAUCAUGGCUCAGAUUGAACGCUGGCGGCAGGCCUAACACAUGCAAGUCGAACGGUAACAGGAAUCAGCUUGCUGAUUCGCUGACGAGUGGCGGACGGGUGAGUAAUGUCUGGGAAACUGCCUGAUGGAGGGGGAUAACUACUGGAAACGGUAGCUAAUACCGCAUAACGUCGCAAGACCAAAGAGGGGGACCUUCUGGCCUCUUGCCAUCGGAUGUGCCCAGAUGGGAUUAGCUAGUAGGUGGGGUAACGGCUCACCUAGGCGACGAUCCCUAGCUGGUCUGAGAGGAUGACCAGCCACACUGGAACUGAGACACGGUCCAGACUCCUACGGGAGGCAGCAGUGGGGAAUAUUGCACAAUGGGCGCAAGCCUGAUGCAGCCAUGCCGCGUGUAUGAAGAAGGCCUUCGGGUUGUAAAGUACUUUCAGCGGGGAGGAAGGGAGUAAAGUUAAUACCUUUGCUCAUUGACGUUACCCGCAGAAGAAGCACCGGCUAACUCCGUGCCAGCAGCCGCGGUAAUACGGAGGGUGCAAGCGUUAAUCGGAAUUACUGGGCGUAAAGCGCACGCAGGCGGUUUGUUAAGUCAGAUGUGAAAUCCCCGGGCUCAACCUGGGAACUGCAUCUGAUACUGGCAAGCUUGAGUCUCGUAGAGGGGGGUAGAAUUCCAGGUGUAGCGGUGAAAUGCGUAGAGAUCUGGAGGAAUACCGGUGGCGAAGGCGGCCCCCUGGACGAAGACUGACGCUCAGGUGCGAAAGCGUGGGGAGCAAACAGGAUUAGAUACCCUGGUAGUCCACGCCGUAAACGAUGUCGACUUGGAGGUUGUGCCCUUGAGGCGUGGCUUCCGGAGCUAACGCGUUAAGUCGACCGCCUGGGGAGUACGGCCGCAAGGUUAAAACUCAAAUGAAUUGACGGGGGCCCGCACAAGCGGUGGAGCAUGUGGUUUAAUUCGAUGCAACGCGAAGAACCUUACCUGGUCUUGACAUCCACGGAAGUUUUCAGAGAUGAGAAUGUGCCUUCGGGAACCGUGAGACAGGUGCUGCAUGGCUGUCGUCAGCUCGUGUUGUGAAAUGUUGGGUUAAGUCCCGCAACGAGCGCAACCCUUAUCCUUUGUUGCCAGCGGUCCGGCCGGGAACUCAAAGGAGACUGCCAGUGAUAAACUGGAGGAAGGUGGGGAUGACGUCAAGUCAUCAUGGCCCUUACGACCAGGGCUACACACGUGCUACAAUGGCGCAUACAAAGAGAAGCGACCUCGCGAGAGCAAGCGGACCUCAUAAAGUGCGUCGUAGUCCGGAUUGGAGUCUGCAACUCGACUCCAUGAAGUCGGAAUCGCUAGUAAUCGUGGAUCAGAAUGCCACGGUGAAUACGUUCCCGGGCCUUGUACACACCGCCCGUCACACCAUGGGAGUGGGUUGCAAAAGAAGUAGGUAGCUUAACCUUCGGGAGGGCGCUUACCACUUUGUGAUUCAUGACUGGGGUGAAGUCGUAACAAGGUAACCGUAGGGGAACCUGCGGUUGGAUCACCUCCUUACCUUAAAGAAGC